UUGGAGGGCAAGUCUGGUGCCAGCAGCCGCGGUAAUUCCAGCUCCAAUAGCGUAUAUUAAAGUUGUUGCAGUUAAAAAGCUCGUAGUUGAAUUUCGGGGACAGCAGGUUGGUCGUGCCUCUGGUACGCACUGGUUUCGCUGAUUCCUCCUUUCCGAAGAACUGUAAUGUCAUUAAUUUGGUGUUGCAGGGAAACAGGACUGUUACUUUGAAAAAAUUAGAGUGUUUAAAGCAAGCUAACGCUUGAAUACAUUAGCAUGGAAUAAUGAAAUAGGACGUUUGAUCCUAUUUUGUUGGUUUCUAGGAUUGACGUAAUGAUUAAUAGGGAUAGUUGGGGGCAUUAGUAUUCAAUUGUCAGAGGUGAAAUUCUUGGAUUUAUUGAAGACUAACUACUGCGAAAGCAUUUGCCAAGGAUGUUUUCAUUAAUCAAGAACGAAAGUUAGGGGAUCGAAGACGAUCAGAUACCGUCGUAGUCUUAACCAUAAACUAUGCCGACUAGGGAUCGGAUGGUGUUAAUUUUUUAAUGACUCAUUCGGCGCCUUACGGGAAAC
Molecule: ribosomal RNA, 549 nt
Filed under: uncultured Glomeromycotina
Lineage: Eukaryota; Fungi; Glomeromycota
Description: SSU rRNA
Rfam family: Eukaryotic small subunit ribosomal RNA
Source: RNAcentral